AUGAUCACAAGCAGGAUUGGAGCCUGCGCUUCUGAGACCUUGGGAACCAGGGCUCUUCUCCUAUGGCCACACUGCCUUGUUCUGAGAUUGAUGGAGUCUCCGCCGCCAGCAGGCAGCCAGCGACAGAGACAGGGACAGAAUGACCCGCCUCGGAAUCCAAACUCAAGGGUUGCUGCAGAUGAAUUACUGCCAACUUCGUAAGACAAACUGGACAAACUCCCAUCAUGCCGGGUGAUGAAACAAUUUCCAGCUCAUUCAUCCACUCAAGCCUUACCAGGUGUGUUGCAUGCUAAAAGGAUGCUACAGUAACCAAGUGCCUUCAGCUAUUCAAUUCAGGAUACACAUACAAGCUAGAAGACCAAAGCAAAGGGGAUAAAUGAAUGUUUGUUGAUAUUGAAAGCCAUGGGCCUUGAGACCUUGAGAAUUAGCCAAGCAGAAAAUAAAUAAAUAAAAAGGCAAUUUGUUUUAGAUAGG
RNAcentral lists this long non-coding RNA (474 nucleotides) under Phascolarctos cinereus (koala). RNAcentral's name for it is "lncRNA (ENSPCIG00000013944.2)". The record is from RNAcentral. Lineage: Eukaryota; Metazoa; Chordata; Mammalia; Diprotodontia; Phascolarctidae.